UACAUAUUCAAACGUACUUUUAUAGAAGAAAAAAAAACAAUAAAAUUGAAAGCAGUCUUCUUAGCAGACCACCAGUGAAGUAGUGCGCUCUGUCGCUUUAUUGAGUAUAACAUGAUACUGAAGUCAAAACAGACAUCUGACAAUUAUUUUGAUUUUUAUUAUUAAAAAAAAAUUUUUUAAAAGUUUGCGCUUAUAAUUUUUUUUUAAUUUCUAAGAUAAAGUACCCAGUAGCUGCUCAGGAACCCAGUACCUGCUCACUCCAUGUAUUUUUAUUCGCCCGGUCACGUGGACGGAGUAAUAAUAGCAUUAAUACUAAUUCAUUAACAGUGUGUUGCGUGUUGAUGCAUACUGAUAGCGCCACCUAAAAUAAUGCUUAACAUUCUUUCAUGCUUAACGUAUACACGCAUACACACUCAUUUUUGACUAGUAUAUGUGCGUGCACCCAGUCAAUAUCUGCAUUUGUGAAUAUAGAUAUAUAAGUACACAGAGUGGGCAGGUAUUGGUUCUUGAGCAGCUACUGGUAUCAUGAGAAAAACAUGUUUCCAAAUGCAGUGCCAGACACUUUUGCGGAUGCAUCAGACUUAGAAUUCAUAGGAAAUGUGUCAAUCAAAAUGAUCGAUGCAAUGAAUAAUGAUAGGAAUAACGCACUGUAUUUUCAAGCCCAAUGCAUUCGUGGACAUUUUUAUAAAAAGUCAAUCGGUAAACAAAAUCAGCACAUCUUCUAUUUGAUUAAUUGAUUGAUACUCUUCUAAUGACUUACUGAAGAUGUACUUCAAAUCCAAAAUAGUUUUCAAUAUCAGCCACAAUUGCAUUAAAAAAUUUUUGUUUUUUUUUUAUCAGUAUACUUAUUCAGAUUUAAUAAUAAGUAAUAGUAUUGAUAAAAAAAGUUCAGUUUUUAUUUACAGUAGAGUCUCCUCAACUUCAAAUGAGAGGUGCCCCAAAUUCCAGGAAUUGAAGUUAGAGAAUACACGGCAGUAGACGAGUCUCUCCAUAUUUGUUAUCGUGUACGGGAGAAAUACAUGUCGCCGACUGUAGAAGUAAGGACAACCCUCUUGUAUUGGAGAUUAGUUAAAAAAGUGUCCACUUGUAAACAGCAAAUUAUUGUUCGAACCACGAAGGCUAGAUAGACCGGUCAACUAUUCAAUCCGUCAGAAUCGGUCAGAAGCCCAUAAACCAGUAAAAAAUUUAUUCGGUCAUUUAUUAGACCCUCUGAUUUUAUCACAAUCUAAUUAAUGACUAUAAAAUUGAACGGUUAUAUCGAGGAACGAAUUGUUAGAAGAAAAAAUUGCUAAACAAUUAAAGAAAAAAAAAGUUGCAAGCUAG
Long non-coding RNA from Cotesia glomerata, 1323 nucleotides. RefSeq lists it as uncharacterized. NCBI's taxonomy places the organism in Eukaryota, Metazoa, Arthropoda, Insecta, Hymenoptera, Braconidae. The record is from RefSeq and is a predicted model, not a curated record. The transcript is spliced from 4 exons.